RNAcentral lists this ribosomal RNA (468 nucleotides) under uncultured bacterium. RNAcentral's name for it is "partial 16S ribosomal RNA". It matches the Rfam family "Bacterial small subunit ribosomal RNA", at positions 28 to 507 of the family's 1533-position model. The record is from RNAcentral.
GACGAACGCUGGCGGCGUGCUUAACACAUGCAAGUCGAACGGAAAGGCCCUGCUUUUGUGGGGUGCUCGAGUGGCGAACGGGUGAGUAACACGUGAGUAACCUGCCCUUGACUUUGGGAUAACUUCAGGAAACUGGGGCUAAUACCGGAUAGGAGCUCCUGCUGCAUGGUGGGGGUUGGAAAGUUUGGGCGGUUGGGGAUGGACUCGCGGCUUAUCAGCUUGUUGGUGGGGUAGUGGCUUACCAAGGCUUUGACGGGUAGCCGGCCUGGGAGGGUGACCGGCCACAUGGGGACUGAGAGACGGCCCAGACUGCUACGGGAGGCAGCAGUGGGGAAUAUUGCACAAUGGGCGGAAGCCUGAUGCAGCAACACCGCGUGCGGGAUGACGGCCUUCGGGUUGUAAACCGCUUUCGCCUGUGACGAAGCGUGAGUGACGGUAAUGGGUAAAGAAGCACCGGCUAACUACGUG